AGAGAGUUCAAGAGUACGUGAAACCGUUCAGGGGUAAACGGGAGAAAUCCUGAAAUUCGAAGGGGUAUGGAUACAGCUACAUCUGUGAUGCACUGAGUGGGACCCGUCGCGCGCAGACGCGGCCGGGCGCCCGCCGCGAGCAAUCGCGAGCGGUGUCGUCCCGGCCGUCGCUCGGCGCGGCGACCCCGUAUCAGGAGUAGUGCAUGUCCUGCCUCGGUAGAAUCGUCGCGACCCGUUGGGUGCCGGCCUCAAGGCCCGGGCAGGCAGACCGCGCGUCCCGCGGGGGGUUUCCCCGCGGGCGGGCGGACUCCCGGUGUCCCGGCCGGCUGCCCGACGGUAGGACCAGAGGAGUCGGUCCGCUGGAGGAAACACUGUGGUUGUGUAGCGUCCGGCCNGGCGUCGUGGCCUGCGGGGAAAUGGUCCAGACCGGGGGUGUCCGUGCGUCGCACGGUCCCGGCCCCGCAGCGUCCACGUGCGUCCGGUGCCCUCGGACGGGACCGACGACUCCCGUCCGCGGCGUCAUCUUCGGAUGG
Molecule: ribosomal RNA, 533 nt
Filed under: Damasippus sp. 0043
Lineage: Eukaryota; Metazoa; Arthropoda; Insecta; Phasmatodea; Prisopodidae
Description: partial large subunit ribosomal RNA
Source: RNAcentral